GUGGGGAAUAUUCCGCAAUGGACGAAAGUCUGACGGAGCAACGCCGCGUGAGUGAUGAAGGUUUUCGGACUGUAAAGCUCUGUUGUUUGGGACGAAAGUGCCUGUUGCGAACAGUUACGGGUAUUGACGGUACUAAACGAGGAAGCCACGGCUAACUACGUGCCAGCAGCCGCGGUAAUACGUAGGUGGCAAGCGUUGUCCGGAAUUAUUGGGCGUAAAGAGCAUGUAGGCGGGAAUCUAAGUCUGUUGUGAAAAUGCGGGGCUCAACCCCGUAUUGCGAUGGAAACUGGGUUUCUUGAGUGCAGGAGAGGAAAGGGGAAUUCCCAGUGUAGCGGUGAAAUGCGUAGAUAUUGGGAGGAACACCAGUGGCGAAGGCGCCUUUCUGGACUGUGUCUGACGCUGAGAUGCGAAAGCCAGGGUAGCGAACGGGAUUAGAUACCCGGGUAGUCC
This 450-nucleotide ribosomal RNA is filed under the name uncultured bacterium. Its description in RNAcentral is "partial 16S ribosomal RNA". It matches the Rfam family "Bacterial small subunit ribosomal RNA", at positions 354 to 796 of the family's 1533-position model. The record is from RNAcentral.